UAAUUUAUUAAUUAUAUUUUUAUAUCAUCACAUGUCACAUGGGUAGCCAUGUUUAUUGAGUGGUUUUGGUGAGAUAGAUUAUACUAUCAUUUCAUUUCAUUUCAGUUGAUGCUCAUGUGAUGUCAUUAUUCUGACAUUAUUUACUUGAUUAAAAAUGGCAGUACUAAUAUUUACUAAAGUUGUAUGAGCAGAUUAAAAGCCAUUUUAACUAGUGCUCUUUUUCUAACUUUGGAAAUUUGAUGGCCACUGUUAAGAAUGGCACAUACCACCUCUGUGUUUAUAAAUACGUGUACACUUCUAUGCCUGGACCACCUCCUGCUUCUGCUCAGCUUCCGUUUCUAAUAAGGUACAAGAGACUGUCUCUUCAGGAAACUUGUGAUAGCUAGGAUGCUCCUCAUAAGGAAGCAUUCAGUAGCCAUGCCAAAAAGAAAAAAAAGUAUGUGAAUUUUGGUUAAUGAGUAAAGUCAUUGAUGCCCUGGAUGAGAACGACUGCUUUUCUCUUUUUCUCUUUUUUACUCCUCUUUUUUUUUUAAAGAUUUAUUUAUUUAUUUAUUUAUUAUAUGUGUAUGCACUGUAGCUGUCUUCAGACACUGCAGAAGAGGGCAUCAGAUUUUUGUUAUGGAUGGUUGUGAGCCACCAUGUGGUUGCUGGGAUUUGAACUCAGUACCUUUGGAAGAGCAUAUGGCACUCUUAACCGCUGAGCCAUCUCACCAGCCCCUAUUCCUCAUUUUUUAGUCCCAACAUAAGGCAUAUCAUAGCUAAUAAACUAGUUGUCUUCACCAUUUCCCCGAACUGAUAUACGAGUUCCUUAUUCGGUUCACACAAAACACAUCAGAUGUCAUUAUUCCAUCUUUGGUCUUGUGACAUCUUCACACCUAGCAACCUUGACCUUUAUUCAUACAUCUCCUUAACACGUGUAGACCAUCUCCUGUUAGCAAUGUGAGGCUUGGUGGAGGUUAUGGAGAGUGUCUGCUCUAAAUGUAGAUUGAAACUUGAAAUGAAAAGGUUUGUAGGUUCAAAGCACUCUAAUAAACGGCCUACUAUGUGAUACUCAUACCUAAAUGAAAAUGCCCAGGCAUCCCAAUAGAAAAGGAACUGCACAUUCAUUCAUGAAGUAUUCAGAUUUGAUCAGGAAGAGCAUGUAUUAUUUUUGUGAUGUGAGAUUUGUGCAGUGAGCCACUGUUCCAUAAAUAGUCCUUUCUUGAUUGCAUGCUUAUUGGCACAAACAGAAGUAGAAAUGUGGAGAAAUGAGAUGUAGUGCUCACUCUAAAAUGAAGCAGAGAACUUGGGUUUUUCUCACUGAUUCUAAUUAAAUCUGCCAGAUGACCAAAAUAUCUUGCUCCAUGCCUCUCUUCAAAGUACCUUAAGCUAUGCCUCCGGGGUCCUUGCUGAUGCCCAGAUACUUGAGAAUGAGAGUAGGUUUGGGUAUAUGUAUUAGUAUCUUUCAAAUCCCUAGAAACAGUGAGAUCUGACUUAAGCAGGUCAAAACUGCUUAUUUUGUGGAAAUACAUAGAACUCAUGGAGGUUUUAUUAACAAGCUUUUAUUGUAUCAUGAACCAGCAUGAGUACAUACUGACUUAUAAGACCUUCCUGCUUUUUACAUUUUUAUUUCAUUACAUAUUUCAUACAUGUAUAUAGUAUAUCUUGAUCCUAUCUAUCCCUUACUUCCCUCUUCCAACUCUUCUAAGGACCCCCAAUCACAGUACUAUGUGUACCUGCAUGAGCAUGGGUCACCCAUGGCAGCAUAGGGAAUCCAGUAAUAAGCCACACUCUCUGGGGAGAAAAAGAUUAUUCUUUCCUUAGUAGCUGUCAGCUGUUCAGGGUUAGGAUACCCUCUUCCUGCUUUGUGCUGGAAUUGCUAACUGGGUUGGUUUUGUGCAGAUUUUAUGUGUAUAGGUAACCACAAUAUCUAUAAGUUCAUGUGUGCAAUAGCCAUGUUAAGGCUAAGGGUCAGAAUUUCAUAGCCCUUCUGACUUCCACUUUCUUUCUAUCCCCUCUCUGGAGAUGUUUCCUGAGCUCUGGGGUGGUGACACAGAUGUCCCACCCAGGCAAAGGACUCAGAGUCACUUGUUCUUAGAGCUUAGAUAUCCCCACCAC
This 2097-nucleotide long non-coding RNA is filed under the name Mus musculus (house mouse). Its description in RNAcentral is "long non-coding RNA chr4:120491023-120493120". The record is from RNAcentral. Lineage: Eukaryota; Metazoa; Chordata; Mammalia; Rodentia; Muridae.